Molecule: ribosomal RNA, 253 nt
Filed under: uncultured bacterium
Lineage: Bacteria
Description: partial 16S ribosomal RNA
Rfam family: Bacterial small subunit ribosomal RNA
Source: RNAcentral
UACGUAGGGGGCGAGCGUUGUCCGGAUUUAUUGGGCGUAAAGAGCGUGUAGGCGGCCAGGUAGGUCUGCUGUGAAAACUCGAGGCUCAACCUCGAGACGUCGGCGGAAACCAUCUGGCUAGAGUCCGGAAGAGGAGAGUGGAAUUCCUGGUGUAGCGGUGGAAUGCGCAGAUAUCAGGAGGAACACCAAUAGCGAAGGCAGCUCGCUGGGACGUUACUGACACUGAGGCGCGAAAGCGUGGGGAGCAAACAGG